Triplophysa rosa is the source of this 1320-nucleotide long non-coding RNA. RefSeq lists it as uncharacterized. The record is from RefSeq and is a predicted model, not a curated record. The transcript has 4 exons. NCBI's taxonomy places the organism in Eukaryota, Metazoa, Chordata, Actinopteri, Cypriniformes, Nemacheilidae.
GGAAGAUAUAUAUUUGUAUAUAUUUUUAAGGCAGAUAAAACUGAAAUUGAUGUCUCGUUAAGUAUGUCUGUUUCUAUUUCAGAGUAAACAUCCCAGAAUGCUUUGGGAAACCAGAAGACAUUGAUGGUGAAAUCUGAAUGGGCGCCUGCUGUUUGGUCUCACCAGGAGUUAAGCUUCUCUGGAGAACGUCUGCCUUCUCGGCUUUUGUCCAGAUUCAGAGCCAGCGGGCAUCGAGCAUGGUGCGUUUGGUCUUGGGUCCACGCCAGUGUGGCUUGCUUGUCAGUACGGAUUGUCAGCGUAGCUGUCAGCUAGAAAGGGUCAUCUGUGCUUGUGCGACGAAUCGGCGCUGUAGCCACAGGAUAUGGAGGUCUUUAGAGUCAACUGUCUGACACCGGAACACACAGCCCUGAGUUUCCUAGGCACUGCCAACGAGUCGCAGCCAAAGGGUCAAAGAGUGUGAACCAAGACUGGGACUGCUGUACCCCUCAAAGCCCAAGGUGCACAAUGUCCCCAAUGCAGCAAAUGUAAAUAUGCAGAAGCGCAAGUGACUUUUGAGAGCUGCCGUAAAUCUCAACAUGGAAGCCGUGACACAGUGGCUGACCGCCUCGUAAUCUCCAUUUGACGUAUGUGACACUCAUAUCCGACUCGGUUGUGAACAGCUGGCUCCACCGGCGAUGCAGGUCGGGCCUCUCGAUUGGAUGGUAUUAACUGGAUUGAGGCGGGGUCGCGGCCCGCCGGGGUCUGUGUUAAUUGCAGUGUGAGGAUACGUGAAGCUCUGAGAGCAAAUCAAAACCCGUCUUCCCCUCCAUACGUGCCUUGGCUGUGAUUUCACAUGUCUUUGGAUCUGUAUCUUUCGUCACAUGGUUUUUCCUGUUCUAAAUCAAUGACCGACUUCAUAGCGUAGUGAUUUGCCAAGCAGGCACUUGCAAGCCACGGAGGCCGAAUUGAUAAAUAAGAUUAUUCCGGAAUAAAAGUCCCAUAUUUUUUGCCCACAGACGGUUACAAAAAAGUAACAAAGUGAAACUAGUCACUUGACUGCUUUUUUCGGUAGCGAGACAUCUGCUUAGCUGUUUUGAAGACAUUUUUCAGUAACAGGCCACUUUUUUACCAGGGGAUGCAGCGUAGCGUGUCAAAACAUUGCAUUGCUGUUUUUCAUGUCUCAUUGUAUUGCACUUUCAGCUUUGCAGCCCGGUGAGCUGAGGGAAUAAUCAAACAUUCUGUCCAAAAAUCCGAUUCAUUUUACCGAACUGCUUCUUUCGGAUGCUUCAUAAUUCGAGUCUUUUUUUAGUUGUUGCAAAACAUUUUGUUACAUACUUCCGU